UUCUUCAGCCACUGGUUGACAUGCCAUUUGCCGUCGGCCUGACGUUCGGCCACGCGCGCCUCGCCCUUGUCGAGCAGGUUGAGCGCCAGCUCCACGGCGUCGCGCACCUCGCCCUUGGUAUUGGCGUUGACGGUAUCGCGGGCCUCGAAGGCGGCAUUCAGCGUGUUUUCAAGCGCGGAGAGAGACAUCGGUGUUCCUUGGGGGAAAAGCAGUUUUGGAUGCC
Molecule: unclassified non-coding RNA, 223 nt
Filed under: Hevea brasiliensis (rubber tree)
Lineage: Eukaryota; Viridiplantae; Streptophyta; Magnoliopsida; Malpighiales; Euphorbiaceae
Source: RNAcentral